Molecule: ribosomal RNA, 163 nt
Filed under: Thanatephorus cucumeris
Lineage: Eukaryota; Fungi; Basidiomycota; Agaricomycetes; Cantharellales; Ceratobasidiaceae
Description: 5.8S ribosomal RNA
Rfam family: 5.8S ribosomal RNA
About the family: 5.8S ribosomal RNA (5.8S rRNA) is a component of the large subunit of the eukaryotic ribosome. It is transcribed by RNA polymerase I as part of the 45S precursor that also contains 18S and 28S rRNA. Functionally, it is thought that 5.8S rRNA may be involved in ribosome translocation.
Source: RNAcentral
ACUAGGUUUCAACAACGGAUCUCUUGGCUCUCGCAUCGAUGAAGAACGCAGCGAAAUGCGAUAAGUAAUGUGAAUUGCAGAAUUCAGUGAAUCAUCGAAUCUUUGAACGCACCUUGCGCUCCUUGGUAUUCCUUGGAGCAUGCCUGUUUGAGUAUCAUGAAAU